Long non-coding RNA from Centruroides sculpturatus (bark scorpion), 873 nucleotides. RefSeq lists it as uncharacterized. The transcript has 3 exons. The record is from RefSeq and is a predicted model, not a curated record. Lineage: Eukaryota; Metazoa; Arthropoda; Arachnida; Scorpiones; Buthidae.
UAGAAUAUUUAAAAUCCACUAAUGGUCUAUAAACAUUUCCCACUUUGUGGGUUUUAAGUCUAAUAUUAAGUUGUGGAAUACGUGCAUUAUUAAAGUUCAUUAUCUUCUUAUAAUUUUGACUCGUAAACUCUUUUUUAUGUAUUUUCAUUCCUUUUUUUAAUUUCUUCUAUUGGAUCACUAGGUAAAAGCUCAUAUUUAUCAGUAUAUACGCCACGGUUAAAGAUUGUGGAUCGAAUAGAGCUGGAAUUAAUAUGAUAAUGCUAACUUUAUUCAACAUUUUGGUUAAAGAAAAUAGACCUAUCGAUGUCAUAACGGUUAAAGCUGACAUUAUCGAAAACCGAAUACGAUUUGAAAUUCGGACGUAAUUUACCCCAUUUUGGAGAAACGAAAGAAAAAACUCAGUAUUCCAAUUUAGUCAAAUAAACUGCAAUUUUUCUAAUGCAAGUUGCACAAAUAAAGAAACAAUUCUAUUUUUGAAAUUAACUAGAAGUUAUUCAUUUUCUACUUAUGAAGCGGAUAAAAAUAAUUGUUGCAUGAUAAUUUAGCAAAAUGUCAUUCCAUUUAUCAAAAAUGCUAUACUGUACAGUAUAUCAGGGAUUGAUCAUGAUAAUAAUAAAUACAACUUGACUACAUAUUAUAAAGUAAAAGAAUAUGGAAACGUUUAGAUCAAAGAAGCCAGUGGCAAAUCAGAAAUCGAUAGAAGAGAAAAAGGAUAAAGAGAAAGAAACAUAAAAAAUUGGAUUGAACAGAACUCAUAUACAAGUAUUAUAACAUGACACGAUUUACUCGUGUUUAAGUUAUGUUUCUAUUUCGUACCAAGUACGUUUUCUAUAUCCUCAUUUGACUGGUUUCCUGUUUGUAAUAAAAGUUAAU